GCACCAAUGGUUUAGUGGUAGAAUAGUAUCCUGCCACAGUACAGACCACGGUUCGAUUCCUAGAUGGUGCA
This 71-nucleotide transfer RNA is filed under the name Nicotiana sylvestris (wood tobacco). It matches the Rfam family "tRNA". Rfam says of the family: Transfer RNA (tRNA) molecules are approximately 80 nucleotides in length. Their secondary structure includes four short double-helical elements and three loops (D, anti-codon, and T loops). The record is from Rfam by way of RNAcentral. RNAcentral also lists the same sequence under 1 other name. Lineage: Eukaryota; Viridiplantae; Streptophyta; Magnoliopsida; Solanales; Solanaceae.